AGGAAAGUGUGCUACUGGAGAGCUGGGUGGUGCAGACACUAACAAGGACCAGGAGGGAAAACCCCACAGCCAUGCUUUGACCUACCCAGAUCUGUUUUGUAUGAGAGCACUGCUACUGCUAGAACACUAGUUGGCAACUCCUCCAAAUCUAUGCUAUGCUUCACAGUAUGUCAGCCAAAUUAUGGCUGCCCUCUGCACAGCUGCAUUUAGAAGAUGCAGGCUGAUCAACGAAUCUCCAAUGCUAAAUGAGUGUUACCUUUAUUGGUUUUCACUGGACUGUACUUUACCAUCCAUCACAACCUGAGAAGAUAAGACGACAGACAAAUCUAAGUCUUUAUCCAUUUUAUGUAGAAUACUGGUAUGCACAAGUCAUUGUUUUAUAGUUUUCUUUCAUAACUUGGAUUUGAUUAAUUUGUUUUCAAAGGCCUAAAGAAGGUCUGUUUUCUUUCAUUCUCAGAAUGGAAGUUGGAAUUGGUGUGGUCCACAAAGUGAGGACCUGGCUUUGUUCUGUCAGUGACAUUGUGUUCUGUGCUUUCAGUUCAGAAAGUGAGACAUGGUCCUUUGCUUCUAUGUCCAGUGAAUACUGUGCUGGAUUGAAGUCCACAUUAAUUCCUACUUUAGCUUUUACAAAAUGGUACAUCAAAGCCCAGUAGUUACUUAUUGAUGAAACGAACAGCUUUCUUGGCAAUGCAGUAAGGAAUCUGAGUCAUGCUCACUUAGUGAAACUUGGGUGCAGAGAUGAUUGCAUUCUAUUCAAAAUGGCAGAGGAGUGGUACUGGAUUGCUCAAUUUAAAUUUGUGUAUUUGUUCUGAUGUUUGUUCAGAUGAGUCUCAUCAUACUGACAGGCAUUGCAGCUAUUCGUAUAUUUUAGCUGUGGCUAUUUCUAAUUCUUACAUUUGACUGAGGAUUCUAUUCUUAAAGGGGAAUCCUAUUUUUAAAUCACUCUUUAAAAA
Molecule: long non-coding RNA, 953 nt
Organism: Mauremys mutica (yellowpond turtle)
Lineage: Eukaryota; Metazoa; Chordata; Testudines; Geoemydidae
Exons: 3
Source: RefSeq, a predicted model, not a curated record